CCUACGGGAGGCAGCAGUAGGGAAUAUUGCUCAAUGGGGGAAACCCUGAAGCAGCAACGCCGCGUGGAGGAUGAAGGUUUUCGGAUUGUACACUCCUUUUGUUAGAGAAGAUAAUGACGGUAUCUAACGAAUAAGCACCGGCUAACUCCGUGCCAGCAGCCGCGGUCAUACGGAGGGUGCAAGCGUUACUCGGAAUCACUGGGCGUAAAGAGCGCGUAGGCGGGAUAGCAAGUCAGAUGUGAAAUCCUAUGGCUUAACCAUAGAACUGCAUUUGAAACUGUUAUUCUAGAGUAUGGGAGAGGUAGGUGGAAUUCUUGGUGUAGGGGUAAAAUCCGUAGAGAUCAAGAGGAAUACUCAUUGCGAAGGCGACCUGCUAGAACAUAACUGACGCUGAUGCGCGAAAGCGUGGGGAGCAAACAGGAUUAGAUACCCCAGUAGUC
RNAcentral lists this ribosomal RNA (440 nucleotides) under uncultured bacterium. RNAcentral's name for it is "partial 16S ribosomal RNA". It matches the Rfam family "Bacterial small subunit ribosomal RNA", at positions 338 to 795 of the family's 1533-position model. The record is from RNAcentral.